RNAcentral lists this long non-coding RNA (2265 nucleotides) under Lynx pardinus (Iberian lynx). Lineage: Eukaryota; Metazoa; Chordata; Mammalia; Carnivora; Felidae. The record is from RNAcentral.
GGAGGCCUUCAAGGCGGAGAUCAAGAAGACAGAUGUGAAAGAAGAGAAGAGGAAGAAGGAGCUGGUCAGUACCAGGGGGCAGAGGGGGUGCGGGGCUCGGGGGAGCGGUACCACCGGCCUCCUUCCAGUUGGGCUGAGCAAUGACAUCCCCCCUCCUUUGCCAGCAUCCUAAGCCAAAGUUGUUAAAACCAGGUUAUGGAAAGAAGCUGAGGAGAUGGGGGAGGACGGCAGCAGGAGGAGGAGGUUAAGAGGGAUGCUCCGCGCUGGUGAUCUUCCCUCCGGGUUACCGCUGUUCCCACAGGCACUUCGGGCAUGCCUUUCGGACUCAGGGUCCCCCCUGAUCUUUCGAUUGCACUGGCCCAGUCAUUCCGUGUCUUCUAGAGCCUUCAUUUGGCCUCCAAUCCGAUCUUGCUUUCAGGUAUUUCUAAAAUAAGUCGCCUGCAAGCGCUAGGUUCCAAUUAUUCCACUAUCGGCCCCUUAUCCCUCCCUGGAGAACUAGGCCACCGCUGAUGGUAAGAGAGUUUUAAGGCUGUUCUCAUCGCAGUGCUCAGAAGACAUAGAGGUAAACAUAAAUAAUAAGUACUCUUAACUUCAAAAUGCAGCUCCGGUUUCUCUUUGGCGAUGAGGUUGUACUGAAACUUCCCAGAUGAGUGUACUUCGUGGGUCUUUCUUGUUUUAUUCCCCUGAGCAUUUUAAGACAAACAGUAAAUACUAAUAUGGUCGCUGUCAUUGUUGUUAUCAGGAACACAGAACUAUAACUGAAAAGCAGUUUUCUCCAGUUCCGACCAAGUGCCCACAGGUUGGUGGUGUUCAGAGCAGGGCUAGUGCCAUGCAGGACCUGGGAAAUAAUCCCAUUUGUCUAGUUUUUCUUCUUUGGGGCCUGUGGCGCUUUAGUCUGUGCAUAAUCGAGUGACCUCUGGAAUAACUGGGGAUUUCAGAGGCCUUGGAGGAGAGGCACUGCCGAGUUGGUGGCCCAGAGCCCCUUGCCGGCCAGCCCAGGCCAGGGCAGAAGAAAGUCUCCCCCAUCUACCCUAGAGCUCGAAUCUGGGAUUGCGAUUGAAAACAGGGAAACCAGAUUUAGCGCCGACCCCCGCUCGCGCCCCUACAUCUGGAGUCAGAGAAAAGGCCCCCAGCCCCUCCAUAAACGACUUGGAAACGGCUGGUUGUUUAUAAGCUUGCCUAUCCGGUAGUUGACCGUUGCAGGCGCGUGGAAGGCCUGGGCGGUAGCUAGGGCUGCGCAAACCUUCGUCGUUUUCCUGCCGGGGCUGACUUGAAACCAUCCCCUUCUCAUCCCUUACUCGUUCUUUCAUUCUCUCCUUUUCUCCCCGGAAAGUGCGGGGGGUGGCGUGGAACCAGGUCUCCUUUCUGAAUUUCUCUUUCCACUUUUCUCUCCUUCGCCUCUCCUCUGCCCAGAAUGAAAUCUUGAAAAGCACAGUGAGCAGCAACGACAAGAAAACCAAAGGCCGGACGGGCUGGCCGCAGCACGUCUGGGCCCUGGAGCUCAAGCAGUGAGGAGGAGGAGGAGGAGGAGAGCGCGAGUGAGCCGGGGCCCAGGAGCCGGAAGCAGACCCAGGACUCCGGGCAAGCUCUCCACGCUCCGCUCUGAGGACUUCUUGCAUUUGGAAUCAUCCGGUUUAUUUAUGUGCAAUUUGCCUCCCCUCUCUUUGCCCCCCUUUGAGGCAUCCGCUCCCCACCUCCCCCUCCAAAAAAAAAAAAAGUGGAUAUUUGAAGAAAAGCAUUCCAUAUUUUAAUAUGAAGAGGACACUCCCGCGUGGUAAGGGAUCCCGUCGUCUCGUAGAUUUUCUGUGUGUGAAUGUUCCCUCAAGGCUGUGUAGACACCAGCGUUGCUCCCACCCCACUUACCCAACCCCUUCCAGAUAAAGACAGCAGACAAUAGUGUGUAUGUAAAGUGUAUCUUUAAUACUUGGCCUUUGGAUAUAAAUAUUCCUGGGGAUUAUAAAGUUUUAUUUCAAAGCAGAAAACGGGGCCGCUAACAUUUCAGUUGGGGUCGGUAUCUAGUGCUGUCUUUUCAUCUGUGGUCGUUCCCUAUUCGAAGAUGUUUCCAACAGCUACUUGUUUUGUGCACUUCCGUCCUCUAAAACUAAGUGGAAUUUAAUUAAUAUUGAAGGUGUAAACGUUGUAAGUAUUCAAUAAACCACUGUGUGUUUUUUUACAAAAACCCCAAUCUUUUAAUGGUUGAUACCUCAGAAGAGUUUUGAAAACAAAACUGUUAUACUUGUUUUCAUAAUAUUUAAAAUAUUCAGA